AGAGUUUGAUCAUGGCUCAGGACGAACGCUGGCGGCGCGCCUAACACAUGCAAGUCGAACGGAGUUAUUUUCUUCACUCCGAGCUUUUUGCCAGUUAGCCGGAGCGGCAAUCGGUUUUGCCCAGCAUAAAAAGCAAAACCGAUUUAGGCUCAUAAAGUAAGACUAACACAGAGGGCAGAGAGUUGGGAGUGAAGAAAAUAACUUAGUGGCGAACGGGUGAGUAACGCGUGAGUAACCUGCCCUGGAGUGGGGGACAACAGUUGGAAACGACUGCUAAUACCGCAUAAGCCCACGGCCCGGCAUCGGGCUGAGGGAAAAGGAUUUAUUCGCUUCAGGAUGGACUCGCGUCCAAUUAGCUAGUUGGUGAGGUAACGGCCCACCAAGGCGACGAUUGGUAGCCGGACUGAGAGGUUGAACGGCCACAUUGGGACUGAGACACGGCCCAGACUCCUACGGGAGGCAGCAGUGGGGGAUAUUGCACAAUGGGGGAAACCCUGAUGCAGCGACGCCGCGUGGAGGAAGAAGGUUUUCGGAUUGUAAACUCCUGUCGUUAGGGACGAUAAUGACGGUACCUAACAAGAAAGCACCGGCUAACUACGUGCCAGCAGCCGCGGUAAAACGUAGGGUGCAAGCGUUGUCCGGAAUUACUGGGUGUAAAGGGAGCGCAGGCGGACCGGCAAGUUGGAAGUGAAAACUAUGGGCUCAACCCAUAAAUUGCUUUCAAAACUGCUGGCCUUGAGUAGUGCAGAGGUAGGUGGAAUUCCCGGUGUAGCGGUGGAAUGCGUAGAUAUCGGGAGGAACACCAGUGGCGAAGGCGACCUACUGGGCACCAACUGACGCUGAGGCUCGAAAGCAUGGGUAGCAAACAGGAUUAGAUACCCUGGUAGUCCAUGCCGUAAACGAUGAUUAUCUAGGUGUUGGAGGAUUGACCCCUUCAGUGCCGCAGUUAACACAAUAAGUAAUCC
Molecule: ribosomal RNA, 965 nt
Filed under: uncultured bacterium
Lineage: Bacteria
Description: bacterial SSU rRNA
Rfam family: Bacterial small subunit ribosomal RNA
Source: RNAcentral